CUACGGGACGCUGCAGGUGCGAAACCUUUACACUGUACGAAAGUACGAUAAGGGAAUCCCAAGUGCUCAUGCUUUGCAUGGGCUUUUGCCAAGAGUAAAUAUCUUGGCGAAUAAGUGGUGGGCAAGACGGGUGCCAGCCGCCGCGGUAACACCCGCGCCACAAGUGGGGACCUCGUUUAUUGGGCCUAAAGCGUCCGUAGCUGGUUUGGUAAAUCUUCUGUGAAAUCGUUGGGCGUAACUUAACGGCGUGCAGGGGACACUACCAGACUUGGAACCGGGAGGAGUUAGGAGUAUUCUGGGGGGAGCGGUAAAAUGCUAUAAUCCUUGGAAGACUACCUGUGGCGAAGGCGCCUAACCAGAACGGAUUCGACAGUGAGGGACGAAAGCUAGGGGAGCGAACCGGAUUAGAUACCCCGGUAGUC
This 422-nucleotide ribosomal RNA is filed under the name uncultured archaeon. RNAcentral describes it as "partial 16S ribosomal RNA". It matches the Rfam family "Archaeal small subunit ribosomal RNA", at positions 323 to 746 of the family's 1478-position model. The record is from RNAcentral.